GAUGAACGCUGGCGGCGUGCCUAACACAUGCAAGUCGAACGGGGCACCUUCGGGUGCUUAGUGGCGAACGGGUGAGUAACGCGUGAGAAACCUGCCUUUCAGUGGGGGACAACAGUUGGAAACGACUGCUAAUACCGCAUAAUGUCAUUUGGGGGCAUCCUCGAAUGACCAAAGAUUUAUUGCUGAAAGAUGGUCUCGCGUCUGAUUAGCUAGAUGGCGGGGUAACGGCCCACCAUGGCGACGAUCAGUAGCCGGUCUGAGAGGAUGAACGGCCACAUUGGGACUGAGAUACGGCCCAGACUCCUACGGGAGGCAGCAGUGGGGAAUAUUGGGCAAUGGGGGAAACCCUGACCCAGCAACGCCGCGUGAAGGAAGAAGGCCUUCGGGUUGUAAACUUCUUUUACCAGGGACGAACAAAUGACGGUACCUGGAGAAAAAGCAACGGCUAACUACGUG
This 456-nucleotide ribosomal RNA is filed under the name uncultured bacterium. RNAcentral describes it as "bacterial SSU rRNA". It matches the Rfam family "Bacterial small subunit ribosomal RNA", at positions 28 to 507 of the family's 1533-position model. The record is from RNAcentral.